Molecule: long non-coding RNA, 928 nt
Organism: Erpetoichthys calabaricus (reedfish)
Lineage: Eukaryota; Metazoa; Chordata; Cladistia; Polypteriformes; Polypteridae
Exons: 3
Source: RefSeq, a predicted model, not a curated record
CGCAUGUGCACGCAUGCGCAGUGCUUUACUAUUACGACCCUGCACGAUCUGCGUUUUUUUUACUUUGCGACAUGAGUUCCCAUCCGAUUUGUCUCGCGCACGCGCUCUCUGCUUAAUUAAAAUUCAUUUCACGACGCUGCCCGAUUUGUUCUGCGCAUGUCGAAUGUUUUACGACACACGAGAAAAAAAGUUACAGCGGGAUUUAAAUUUCUCGGUCUGCAUUAACAAAUAGAACUUCCGGCAUUCGAGUGAGAAGGAGAAAGAAGAACGCCAUAAAGAAUAGGAGCAUAUUGAAUUUUUCUCCGGGAAGAAGAAUAUUUUUCACUUCUUGAAAAAAUGAAGACUUUUCAAUUUUACAAUGACUUGAAAGAAUAUCUUUUACGGGAAGAAUUUAGCAACAAUUUAACGGUCAGAGAGCGAAGUGAAAUACGACGUGUGUCCGUGAAUUUUAUGAUUAAAGUCCAUCAUCCAUGCCCUGGCUGCUCUACAGGGUGUAUCAGGACAGGAGGCAGAAGACUUAUUUCUUGGUGGCCCAGAAUACAGUAUCAGUGAAGUGGAAGAAUUUAACCGAAAGAUAGGGCAGCAAUUAAAGAAGGAAGGAAUGCUGUGAUAUCUGUUGGAAUAGAAGAUGAUGCUACUGCCCAGUGCUUCCAGAAUCCUUCAUUUGAGUCUUGGGUCUGAAUCUACUGCGUCAUUGCCAAGUAUUCUGGGGUAAUGUAUCUUGUUUUGUUUACAUUUUGUUUUUCUCCAUAUUCCAAGCUCAUUUACUUGACCUUAGCUUUAAUAAACUGGAUGGCUGUCUCCUUCACAAUUGAUUUUAAAGUACUAUAUUAUUCAUUACAUAAAAAGCUCUGAACAAUUUAGGCCCUUCCUGUAUUUGGUACUGUCUCUCCCCCAACACUCCUCAGUGUAAUCUUUAAUCCACAAC